Molecule: long non-coding RNA, 411 nt
Filed under: Homo sapiens (human)
Lineage: Eukaryota; Metazoa; Chordata; Mammalia; Primates; Hominidae
Description: non-protein coding LINC01095:7
Source: RNAcentral
CAGUUAUUAAGUGGCAAAGACCGGAUUUGAAUCAAGAUAUCUGAUUUUUAAAAUUCACCUUGUUUCAAAGCAUUUUACUUCACCUAAGAAGUUAAUACACCUCACAACCAGAUAACUCCUUCUUUUCAAUUAGACUGUGUCUGUAUCUGGGAUCAGUUGCGAAGCAGAAGUAUGACGUGACUAAGGCCACCGCUGGGUUAGGAUACCCCCAUCCAAGAUUGAGAGCUGUACUAGCCUGGCAUGCAGACAGCAGCUUUAGAAUCAGAUCUGCCUUCUGGCGGCUUCCCACCUAGGAGCCAUGGGACCUUUGUGAAGUCACCAAUUGUGCUGUGGAUGCUUCAUUUGUGAAGGAGAACAGGACUGCCUUGUGAAAUUACGGAUGGUGCUACUAAAACAUAUCAAUAAUUUGAA